GACGUAGGGCGCGAGCGUUGUCCGGAUUUAUUGGGCGUAAAGAGCUCGUAGGCGGCUUGUCGCGUCGGAUGUGAAAGCCCGGGGCUUAACUCCGGGUCUGCAUUCGAUACGGGCAGGCUAGAGUUCGGUAGGGGAGAUCGGAAUUCCUGGUGUAGCGGUGAAAUGCGCAGAUAUCAGGAGGAACACCGGUGGCGAAGGCGGAUCUCUGGGCCGAUACUGACGCUGAGGAGCGGAAGCGUGGGGAGCGAACAGG
Molecule: ribosomal RNA, 253 nt
Filed under: uncultured bacterium
Lineage: Bacteria
Description: partial 16S ribosomal RNA
Rfam family: Bacterial small subunit ribosomal RNA
Source: RNAcentral